UACAGAGGGUGCAAGCGUUGUUCGGAAUUAUUGGGCGUAAAGGGAGUGUAGGCGGUUCGUUAAGUCUUCUGUGAAAUCUACGGGCUUAGCCUGUAACGUGCAGAGGAAACUAGCGGACUUGAGUGUCGGAGAGGAUAGGGGAAUACCCAGUGUAGAGGUGAAAUUCGUAGAGAUUGGGUGGAACACCAGUGGCGAAGGCGCCUAUCUGGCUGACAACUGACGCUGAGACUCGAAAGCAUGGGGAGCAAACAGG
Molecule: ribosomal RNA, 253 nt
Filed under: uncultured bacterium
Lineage: Bacteria
Description: partial 16S ribosomal RNA
Rfam family: Bacterial small subunit ribosomal RNA
Source: RNAcentral